UACGUAGGCAGCGAGCGUUGUUCGGAAUUACUGGGCGUAAAGAGUGUGUAGGCGGUGCUCUAAGUUCGGUGUGAAAUCUCUCGGCUUAACUGGGAGGGUGCGCCGGAAACUGGAGUGCUCGAACGUGGGAGAGGAAAGCGGAAUUCCUGGUGUAGCGGUGAAAUGCGUAGAUAUCAGGAGGAACACCAGUGGCGAAGGCGGUUGCCUGGGGCUUUGCUGACGCUGAUGCGCGAAAGCGUGGGGAGCGAUCCGG
This 253-nucleotide ribosomal RNA is filed under the name uncultured bacterium. Its description in RNAcentral is "partial 16S ribosomal RNA". It matches the Rfam family "Bacterial small subunit ribosomal RNA", at positions 524 to 776 of the family's 1533-position model. The record is from RNAcentral.